Molecule: long non-coding RNA, 1362 nt
Organism: Ahaetulla prasina
Lineage: Eukaryota; Metazoa; Chordata; Lepidosauria; Squamata; Colubridae
Exons: 4
Source: RefSeq, a predicted model, not a curated record
GAAACAGUCUGAGCUGCGUUACUUUGAACACCAAAAUUGCUUUCUAGAAUUCAGUGGGAAAAUAUACCUGCAAAGGAAUUUCAGAACUGUGGCUGAAAUGAUUUAAAAAAUAGGAGGCUAAUAAUGAAGGAGUCAGUAAAAGAGCCAGUGUGCCAUGAGAGUUAUCUCAUGGCCCCAGAUGCUGGAUAAGUUGAAGAAGGCAGAAAUCACUUCUGGAUGACAUUCAGGUCUGAAUGAUGAUUUGAAGAAGAAAAGACUAUUAUUUCCAAGCUUCAGCAAUAUAUUCCUGAAACAAAAGAUCCACUCCAGACUCUGCCACACCUAAAAAGAAGCUUUGAAGAAAUUGCCAGGCUCAAGUAUGAUGAAAGAAUUACCCACAAAGCAGAAAAUGAAAAAAAGGCACAUAGAUCUGUAAAGUGUCAAAGAUCUGGUUCAGAAAUGGUCUCACAAGAUCCAUUGACUCUCAACAAAACCUGAGACGGAAUUGCUCCAGUUAAGUGAACUAGGUAUCAAAUUACAGAUGAACUGUCUACUUUUGUCAGUAUUAAGAGUUAUGCUGCACAAUAUUCAAGGACACAUCUUUACUUCACCAUGUUGCCUUUCAUCUUUGAAACUGUUUAAUUCACCUGAAGAUAAAGAUACCAUGCAAUUUAUAUGCCAUCAAAGUAAUUUCUGGAAUGCAUAACAGAAAAUCACCACCACAGAGGUUUUCGUGGCCAUCCACUAAUUUAUUACUUUUUAUAGUUGCAUAGAAUGAUGGGAGGAACCAGGACGGGCCUUGCCAUUAGACUGAUUGAUCUGAUCAUUUCAGGUGAUUGUGAGGAAGGAUGGGGAUAGCUAGAUAGCUCCAAAACCAAGAUCAUUUGUUUACUUGGUUUAUCUACCAGCCAGCAGCAGACUGGCAUUUGCUAACAGGUUCCUCCCACACUCUCUGCUAAGGUCAGUGUUUUGUUCUAGAAUGACAAACUAGGCAGUGAUAUUCCUUUCAUCCUUUUCCAGGCUGAAAUUCCUUGCUCCAAAUACUUCUUCUCAAUGAGGCAUUGAGAGCCAGGUAUAAAGCAGCACAGAUGACUAGUUUCCACUGUGCCUUGUUCUGAACACUUGGCAAAUGUCUGCUUGACUUACCCUCCCACAGCUAAAACUAUAGUUUAUUAUAUAUUAAUAUCAAUAAUAGUAUAUUACUAUUAUAUUUUAGUAAAGACUCUUCUGAAAUCAGAGUCAUUUUUCAUUUUUUCAUUUUCUUCUUUUCCCUUAUAACAUCUGUGCAUAUAGUUAAAAUUCCUUCUGUAUGGUUUAGAACAGAAUUUGCAACUAUGGUAUUUUAUCAGGAGAUACUCUCUGGAAGUGCUCUAAGGAUGUGCA